RNAcentral lists this ribosomal RNA (1308 nucleotides) under Triticum aestivum (bread wheat). RNAcentral describes it as "partial small subunit ribosomal RNA". The record is from RNAcentral. Lineage: Eukaryota; Viridiplantae; Streptophyta; Magnoliopsida; Poales; Poaceae.
AUGUCCUCGCCGGCGCCGCCAAUUGCCCCGGCCAUGGCCUCGCCGACGCCGCCAGUCGCCGAAUGUCCGACACCGUCCUCGCUCCUGGCCCUUCCGGAUGUGAACCUGGAGGAUAUAUUCCUCCGCCUGCCCACACCGGCGGCGCUCGCCCGCGCCUCCCUCGCCUGCGCCGCCUUCCGCCGCAUCAUCACCGAGCGCUCUUUCCUCCGCCGCUUCCGCAAACUCCACCCGCCUCCCCUCCUCGGCAUCAUCGACGACGAAGGUGUCUUCGUGCCCACCGAGGCGCCCCACCCUUCCGCCCCGCUCUCCCGUGCUCUUGUCCAAGGGGCUGAUUUCACCUACUCCUUCGUCCCAAAGCCACUCGGUAAAAAUCACACAAUCUGGUCUCCCUGCGACGUCCGCGACGGCCGCGUCCUCCUCGAGCACCGCCGGUCUGGAGCUCACACUUUCUUCACAGACCUGGCGGUGUGCGACCCCCUGUCGCGGAGGUACCUGCUGCUCCCACCCAUUCCUGAGGAUAUGACGAUCGAGCAAGAGCGCCUCGAUGAAUUGCGGCAUUUCCUCAUUCCCAUUCGCGAGAAUGAAGAUGAGACAUCGCUCAAGGUGAUCUGUCUGGCAUAUUACAGAAGCAAGUUGGUCACAUUCAUCUUCUCUUCUGUCACGGGACAAUGGUGUAUAGCUGCGACUACCAGCUGGAGUUCUUUGGGCGUAGUUGACCCCUUCAGGAGAUUGUUCUCCUGUUUUAACUACUUUCGCGGCUGCUUCUACUGGUCCUUGGAUUGGGAGCACAAGCUGCUUGUGCUGGACACACACAGGAUGGCGUUUUCCACUCUCAGUAUUCAUCAUCCUGCCUACUAUAUGAAGUUUAUAGGUCAGCCUGAACACAUCAGAUGCAUGCCUACUGUUGUCGAGGAUAGAAAAGGAGCCCUUGAAGUGUUUAAUCUUGUCGGUGAUCCUUUUGAAUCUACCCCGUUUGAUCUCACCGGUGGUCCUUACAAUCUUACCCCAUUUUACAUCUAUCAUACCUUUCGACAAAAAGGAGAAUCUUCCAGUGAAUGGCAGCUGUUAAAUGUUAUGGAGUUGCCUCGCGGAUAUUGUUAUUAUACUGUGGGUGCAGCUGAGGGGUUCUUAUUCCUUGGAGCUGGAGGGAUUGGGAAAACUCAGCCGGAUGAUUGGGGUGCAGAUGUUUUUUCGCUGGAGGUCAAGACUUCUCAACUUAAGAAGGUCUGUAGAGCAACAAACGUCACUGUCUUUUGUUUUCAGUCUUACUUCGGCUUCCCACCAUCAUUGUCAACACCGAGUCUAUGA